RNAcentral lists this ribosomal RNA (1675 nucleotides) under Escherichia coli. Its description in RNAcentral is "partial 23S ribosomal RNA". It matches the Rfam family "Bacterial large subunit ribosomal RNA", at positions 1270 to 2925 of the family's 2925-position model. Lineage: Bacteria; Pseudomonadati; Pseudomonadota; Gammaproteobacteria; Enterobacterales; Enterobacteriaceae. RNAcentral also lists the same sequence under 1 other name. The record is from RNAcentral.
AUGCUGGAGGUAUCAGAAGUGCGAAUGCUGACAUAAGUAACGAUAAAGCGGGUGAAAAGCCCGCUCGCCGGAAGACCAAGGGUUCCUGUCCAACGUUAAUCGGGGCAGGGUGAGUCGACCCCUAAGGCGAGGCCGAAAGGCGUAGUCGAUGGGAAACAGGUUAAUAUUCCUGUACUUGGUGUUACUGCGAAGGGGGGACGGAGAAGGCUAUGUUGGCCGGGCGACGGUUGUCCCGGUUUAAGCGUGUAGGCUGGUUUUCCAGGCAAAUCCGGAAAAUCAAGGCUGAGGCGUGAUGACGAGGCACUACGGUGCUGAAGCAACAAAUGCCCUGCUUCCAGGAAAAGCCUCUAAGCAUCAGGUAACAUCAAAUCGUACCCCAAACCGACACAGGUGGUCAGGUAGAGAAUACCAAGGCGCUUGAGAGAACUCGGGUGAAGGAACUAGGCAAAAUGGUGCCGUAACUUCGGGAGAAGGCACGCUGAUAUGUAGGUGAAGCGACUUGCUCGUGGAGCUGAAAUCAGUCGAAGAUACCAGCUGGCUGCAACUGUUUAUUAAAAACACAGCACUGUGCAAACACGAAAGUGGACGUAUACGGUGUGACGCCUGCCCGGUGCCGGAAGGUUAAUUGAUGGGGUCAGCGCAAGCGAAGCUCUUGAUCGAAGCCCCGGUAAACGGCGGCCGUAACUAUAACGGUCCUAAGGUAGCGAAAUUCCUUGUCGGGUAAGUUCCGACCUGCACGAAUGGCGUAAUGAUGGCCAGGCUGUCUCCACCCGAGACUCAGUGAAAUUGAACUCGCUGUGAAGAUGCAGUGUACCCGCGGCAAGACGGAAAGACCCCGUGAACCUUUACUAUAGCUUGACACUGAACAUUGAGCCUUGAUGUGUAGGAUAGGUGGGAGGCUUAGAAGUGUGGACGCCAGUCUGCAUGGAGCCGACCUUGAAAUACCACCCUUUAAUGUUUGAUGUUCUAACGUUGACCCGUAAUCCGGGUUGCGGACAGUGUCUGGUGGGUAGUUUGACUGGGGCGGUCUCCUCCUAAAGAGUAACGGAGGAGCACGAAGGUUGGCUAAUCCUGGUCGGACAUCAGGAGGUUAGUGCAAUGGCAUAAGCCAGCUUGACUGCGAGCGUGACGGCGCGAGCAGGUGCGAAAGCAGGUCAUAGUGAUCCGGUGGUUCUGAAUGGAAGGGCCAUCGCUCAACGGAUAAAAGGUACUCCGGGGAUAACAGGCUGAUACCGCCCAAGAGUUCAUAUCGACGGCGGUGUUUGGCACCUCGAUGUCGGCUCAUCACAUCCUGGGGCUGAAGUAGGUCCCAAGGGUAUGGCUGUUCGCCAUUUAAAGUGGUACGCGAGCUGGGUUUAGAACGUCGUGAGACAGUUCGGUCCCUAUCUGCCGUGGGCGCUGGAGAACUGAGGGGGGCUGCUCCUAGUACGAGAGGACCGGAGUGGACGCAUCACUGGUGUUCGGGUUGUCAUGCCAAUGGCACUGCCCGGUAGCUAAAUGCGGAAGAGAUAAGUGCUGAAAGCAUCUAAGCACGAAACUUGCCCCGAGAUGAGUUCUCCCUGACUCCUUGAGAGUCCUGAAGGAACGUUGAAGACGACGACGUUGAUAGGCCGGGUGUGUAAGCGCAGCGAUGCGUUGAGCUAACCGGUACUAAUGAACCGUGAGGCUUAACCUU